GGGCCGCCUCCUCCAAACGCGCCUUAAGCGGUUUUGCAGUGGCUUUCCGCCGGAGGGCUGGGAGGCGCCCCGGCCGAGUCAGUCACCCUUUGGCCGGACAGGCGAUUCCCGAGCGCGGAGAAUGGAAACCUGGCGGUAACCUCUGCAGGUCGUGCCACUCGGUGUGCGCAAGGCCUCCAGAGGCAUCUUUUCAUUUUUAGGGGGCACUUUCCACGAAUUCAUUUGAGCUACACAGCAGUCCUGGGCAGUGGGGAGUGGUGAGCUCCAUUGUGUACACUUGGAAGCAGCCCAGAAAGCUUCUAGCACAGUGCUUUGUGCACAGUAAACACUCCAGCGGCUGUUGACCAAUGAAUGAAUGAAGAUUGUAGGCUCAAAUAUUCAAGUUAUCAAAGUGCAAAGAAUGCGAGGCUGUUGGCACUGGACUUCAAAAAUAAAUAGGCUGGACCUGUACUGUCUUACACAACAGCUAUGAGCUACUGGGCUUGUUUACUAAGUAAACAAGAAGAGGGCCUGGGAGGAGAGUCUGAUGAGCAAGGGGAAGGUAGCCAAGGAUGGAGUGAAAUACAAGAGACCACCAAGCUUUAGAUGACCAUGCAACAAAGGUUCCAGCCAGUUCCAGGUGAAGACGCCACCCCUGACCAUCAAGAAGCUACCCCGCCUCCACUAGACAGAGCAGGGAGAGAGUUCCGUCAUCCUUAAUAGGUAGGGACUAUGCCGCAAGCCAGCAUGAAGCAGUUACAGAAAAAAGAUGAUUGGUCCCUCUGCCUCCCAUGAAGAUUUAUGGGGAUCACAUCUCUUACAGAGGAAAUGAGGCAGGAAAAUAGGGUCUGGAGGCAGGGAAUA
This is a long non-coding RNA of Gorilla gorilla gorilla (western lowland gorilla), 843 nucleotides long. RefSeq lists it as uncharacterized. The record is from RefSeq and is a predicted model, not a curated record. Lineage: Eukaryota; Metazoa; Chordata; Mammalia; Primates; Hominidae. The transcript has 4 exons.